This 301-nucleotide ribosomal RNA is filed under the name uncultured bacterium. RNAcentral's name for it is "bacterial SSU rRNA". It matches the Rfam family "Bacterial small subunit ribosomal RNA", at positions 30 to 334 of the family's 1533-position model. The record is from RNAcentral.
AUUGAACGCUGGUGGCAGGCCUAACACAUGCAGGUCGAACGCGAAAGCUCUUCGGAGUGAGUAGAGUGGCGGACGGGUGAGUAACGCGUGGGAAUCUACCUAGUAGCGGAGGAUAACUCGGGGAAACUCGAGCUAAUACUGCAUACGCCCUACGGGGGAAAGCGGGGGAUCUUCGGACCUCGCACUAUUAGAUGAGCCCGCGUGAGAUUAGCUUGUUGGUGAGGUAAAGGCUCACCAAGGCGACGAUCUCUAGCUGGUCUGAGAGGAUGAUCAGCCACACUGGGACUGAGACACGGCCCAG